Betta splendens (Siamese fighting fish) is the source of this 3396-nucleotide long non-coding RNA. RefSeq lists it as uncharacterized. The record is from RefSeq and is a predicted model, not a curated record. NCBI's taxonomy places the organism in Eukaryota, Metazoa, Chordata, Actinopteri, Anabantiformes, Osphronemidae. The transcript is spliced from 2 exons.
AGGUGCAGUCCUGCCUCGUGCAGCCUGUGGUCCUCCAGAAGAAGCACUCCUUCUUGUAGCUACAACAACAGGACGUGUGCUCUUACCUAAGUGCGGUGUGGGUUUUACUGGGGUACCGCACUGACAGAGGAGACCCCUCAAGCACCAUCCCCUGAAGACGAAACGCACAGGUAACGUCUGGGCUUGUCAUUACUUUACUCCCAGAUAAACUACAAACUACGAGAUAAACUACUUACAGACUCAUACAAGCUGCCAAGAUGCAAAUAUGUUCAAAUUAAUCUGAUUUCCCCCCUUCAAAGUAACCUAACCCAUCACUGGUGCAGCCAUUUGGUUUUAGCAGUUGCACUUAAAUUAGGAUAAUCAUGCAUCACGUGCAAUGAAUGUGUUUUAAAUGACUAAUAAAACACGCAGCCGAAGGUCCUUAGAGGUAAACACACAUACAUUGAAACUUUGGAUAGCUCUGUCACAGUCCUCCUUCCUCGUGUAGUUCACAAAGGCACACUGGUGUUCCAGCAGCAUCUUGAUGCUGUAGACUACCCCAACUCUGAAAUAGAGAAGAAGAAACGUGUGAGAACAACAUCUGGACAUCAUAUCCCUGCGGACACAUCAAUUUAAAAAAAUGAACAAUGGUCAAAAACUGAAAUAGCAAAUACACAAAAAAAAAACUGAGAAAAUGGCUAAAAACAUCUCCUUAGAUUUAAACUGUAAUCCAUAGUCACGGUUUACCUGCUGAACAGCUCGUGAAGUGUUGCAUAGGUGACAGUAGGAGCCAAGGACCCAACCCAGAUGGAAAUGAGGUCCCUUUAUGCAAAACAGCAAGCAAAUAUUAUACAUACACUGUACACUGUAAAACAAUUAUUGGACCUGAUGUUUUCGACCACUCUGUGCUCCACUGACGGUCACAGUAGAAAUCACUAGCUCCUAAUGACUGAACUCACGCUUUGACUGAACUCCUGGACAGAGGAGGAGUCGGCGACUGGGAUUUUGAUCUGCUUUGGCUCAAAGCUUCGCACUCUUUCACCUGCUGCGCCCUCGAACGGCUCGUCUGCUGGACCAUCCACUCUCCCUCUACCUCGUCUGUGUCCUGCUCCACAGGUUGUUUUGUGGGGGCGCUGCUGGCAGCUACAAAAGCUACAGUCAAACACUCAUCUUCACAGCUUUGUCAGAUCUUUUCUUUGCAUGUACCUGGAGGACUUCUAGAAAACAGCGCUUCCACGGCGUGCUCCAAGGUGGCGUGUGUCUUCAGGGCCUCCAGGCUCUCCUCCCUGCUGAAGCCCAUUUCCUGAAAAGACAUAAAUAUUCAUUAUUAUCAAAGCAGAAUACCAAAGACUUCAUUAGAAUCAGACUUUAAUGAUGGAGGAACCACACACUGCCUUCAUUACUUUAGAUGCUUUCAGUGUCAAGUGGUGUUUUAUAACUUGAAAUCCUUCAGUCUGUUGCACGUUUUCCUACCAUCAGAUGCAACAUCUGUGCUCGUUUCAGCUCUUGCUUGGCUUCAGCACUUGAACUGUCCAGUUUCAAAACCUCCGUGUAGACCAGCGAUGCCUCAUAGUAUUUCUGGAGAGGAGUCACAAACAGUCAAGGAUCGCACUACUCGCACAUUUCUGGGCUUAUACCUGAACCCAGGACUGUGAGAAUGAGAUCCAGGAGUGUGUGUUCACCUUGAGUCCACAGAGAGCUUUUCCUUUUCUAAAUAAACCUUUUGUCCAGCCUGGCUCCAUGCAGAGAGUGAGGUCGGCAUCCCUGAGGGCAUUCUCAUACUGCUGCAUCCUUUCGUAGCAGAGGGACCGAUUUCCAAACAACCUGAAACGGAGUAAACAGAAUUUAUUGGGUGAAAACUCACUGCUGCUUAAAGAAGGUCUGAAGUCAGUGAGGCCACUUUUCUUACUUAAACUCCUUUGGGUUGAAUUUAAUGGCGUCUGUGAAGCAUUUCACUGCGAUCUCAUACUGUCCUGAGGCUGCGAAGCGGUUUCCUGCAGCUGGAGGAGGAGGAGGCAUGAUCACGUUUGCUGUAGGUCAGAGUCUCUAUGAAAACGUUGAUGGAGGACGUCACUCACCAGCGAGGUCUCGGCUUCGUUUGGCACAUUCCUCAUUAGUGGGAUCCAGUGUUUUCUGCAACUAUUAGUGGCAGCGUGUGUCAAAGUGUACAUUACACCAGGUGUCAGAAUCCGCCAACAUUUUCUGACCCUUUCUUCAAACUGUUUUCAACAUGCUCACCUCCUCGUUUUUGGUUUCAUUUUUCUUUUCAACGUCCAUAUUCCCUGUAGUUUUUGGCUUUUCCUCUUUGUGUUGCUGAUUUUUUUUCUUUUUUUGCUCUUUUACUGGUGUCUGGUUAAACGUCUCCUCAGACACCAAUUUAGGGGUAGAAUCAUAGGAAUUAUUUACACCAGUCUCCUGUGGAUGAUGGAGGCUGCUUUAUUGUUUUAAAUUAGGAUGAAGAAUCAACACUAAAGCUUGUUGUAAUCUGAGUAGACCGCAGUUGUUAUAGUAGCAUAAAGCCCAUUAAGUUGUAAAUCUCUAGUCACACCUAGUUUAGUAACAGUAGGAAAUAAGCAAAAAGCAGUCAAACAAUGUUUGUGGAGCACAUUAAAACUUUUCCACAUACCUUUGGCUCCACAUCUUUCUUAUUCGGUUUCUCGGUUUCUUCUUUACUAUUAGAACAACUCUCAUCACCUCCAACAGCUUGUGGUACAUUCUGUGUUUUACUUAAUUCAUCUACAUUAGUUUCAAUUAUAGGAUUUUCUACUUGAUUUUCUGAAGUCUCUGUCUUCUCCUGAUCUUUCUCCUGAAAUAAAAAUCAAUAGUUAAAUUACAUUUUAUUUAUACAAUUACAUUGUAUUUGUUGUCAUUCAGAGCAACACUUACAGGUAAAUUCUCUUUAAUUGCAUUUUCCUUUUCCAGUCGCUUCCUUUCUUUUUUACGCUGCAACAAAAAAAAAAGGACAAUCUUACAUAAGCCAUGAUUAAAAAAACUACAGAAUUUAUUUGACAAUGAUUUAACACUGACCAUUUUUUUACGCUUGUUUCUCUCCGUUUUCCCUUUACGUCGUUCCUCUUCUGCAAUUAAUUCUUUGGCAUGUCGAUCAGCCUCCUGAAGGAAAAAAAUGAAUUAAAAACAGUGAUUUCAAUUUAUUAUUCAAAAUUUACAGUUCAGUCGGGACGUUAUACAUGUUUGAAAUUUGUAAUAAAUAACUAAUAGGGAAAGUGUUUGUGUAGAAUCAAGUCUGUCACCUCAUCUGUGAGUUGCCUUAUACGUGGAUGUGGGUUUAAAGGACUGUAUGCAGCCCUGCUAGGAUAAAAAUAAUCGUCGUCAUCAUCAUCAUCGCUGUCAUCAUCAUCAGAAUAGAAGAAAUCCUCCUGCAGUCUGGCACCAUAGUUCCUUAAGUAACUGAAACCU